This 253-nucleotide ribosomal RNA is filed under the name uncultured bacterium. Its description in RNAcentral is "partial 16S ribosomal RNA". It matches the Rfam family "Bacterial small subunit ribosomal RNA", at positions 524 to 776 of the family's 1533-position model. The record is from RNAcentral.
UACGAAAGGAGCAAGUGUUAUUCAGAUUAACUGGGCGUAAAGGGCGCGUAGGCGGCGGUCACAGUCAGAUGUGAAAUUCCUGGGCUUAACCUGGGGGCUGCAUUUGAUACGUGGUUGCUUGAGUGGGGAAGAGGGUCGUGGAAUUCCCAGUGUAGAGGUGAAAUUCGUAGAUAUUGGGAAGAACACCGGUGGCGAAGGCGGCGACCUGGUCCUUGACUGACGCUGAGGCGCGAAAGCGUGGGGAGCAAACAGG